RNAcentral lists this ribosomal RNA (450 nucleotides) under uncultured bacterium. RNAcentral's name for it is "bacterial SSU rRNA". It matches the Rfam family "Bacterial small subunit ribosomal RNA", at positions 355 to 825 of the family's 1533-position model. The record is from RNAcentral.
UCAAGAAACUUCCACAAUGGGCGAAAGCCUGAUGGAGCGACGUCGCGUGAUGGACGAAGUGCUUCGGCACGUAAACAUCUUUUAUGUGGGAUGAAAUUAUUGACAGUACCACAUGAAUAAGGGGCUCCUAACUCUGUGCCAGCAGGAGCGGUAAUACAGAGGCCCCAAGCGUUAUCCGGAAUCACUGGGCGUAAAGGGUGUUGAGGCGGUUGUAUUAGUCGUUCGUAAAAUCUACGAGCUUAACUUGUAGGCGGCGAACGAAACGGUACGACUUGAGGUUUGGAGAGGUGCGUGGAACUCACGGUGUAGGGGUGAAAUCCGUUGAUAUCGUGGGGAACACCAAAGGCGAAGGCAGCGCACUGGCCAAAAUCUGACGCUCACACACGAAAGCUAGGGUAGCGAAGAGGAUUAGAUACCCAAGUAGUCCCUGAGCGGGCUGGCAAGGCGCAU